Molecule: ribosomal RNA, 440 nt
Filed under: uncultured bacterium
Lineage: Bacteria
Description: partial 16S ribosomal RNA
Rfam family: Bacterial small subunit ribosomal RNA
Source: RNAcentral
CCUACGGGAGGCAGCAGUGGGGAAUAUUGCUCAAUGGGGGAAACCCUGAAGCAGCAACGCCGCGUGAGGGAUGAAGGUUUUCGGAAUGUAAAGCCCUUUUGGUAGGGAAGAAAAUGACGGUAUCUGAGGAAGAAGCACCGGCUAACUACGUGCCAGCAGCCGCGGUAAUACGGAGGGGGCCAGCGUUACUCGGAAUUACUGGGGGUAAAGGGGGCGUAGGCGGGAGAGCAAGUCAGGUGUGAAAUCCUAGGGCUUAACCAUCGGACUGCAUUUGAAACUGGUAUUCUAGAGUGUGGGAGAGGUAUGUGGAAUUCGUGGUGUAGCGGUGAAAUGCGUAGAGAUCAAGAGGAAUACCCAUUGCGAAGGCGGCCUACUGGAACAUAACUGACGCUGAGGCGCGAAAGCGUGGGGAGCAAACAGGAUUAGAUACCCUAGUAGUC